RNAcentral lists this long non-coding RNA (2112 nucleotides) under Nicotiana benthamiana. RNAcentral describes it as "long non-coding RNA (NBEN_LNC015594)". Lineage: Eukaryota; Viridiplantae; Streptophyta; Magnoliopsida; Solanales; Solanaceae. The record is from RNAcentral.
AUGGUACCAAGCUUAUUAGAAAUUGUAUACAUUAAUGAUAAAUAUGAAAAGAUUAUUAGAUUCUCUAUCUCAAAUUUCUUAUUUUUAACUACCAUAUUUUUUGUUGUAAGUACUAGAGCAAGGAACAAAGACAACUAAACACAAACCGGAGAGAAAUCGCAAUACGCAAAUAAACCAACAAUCACAAAAAUUAGACAAAAUAAAUGGCAAAAGAAUUAAAAGAAGAAGAACUCCUUAGGCGUCCCAAACAUUUCGCUUGUUUUUCUUGCUAUCCGAUGCACUCUAAGGAAAACGUCAUGCAAUGACUCCAUGUGGUAGUGACGUCGGGUCUCAUUUUGAGAUUCCGUUGCGAGAGUCUCGAAUUAAGACUUCAUGUGCUCCAAAGUGUACAUGUAAAGAAAAAGAAAAGUAAAGAAAUAAGUAAAAGGAUAUCUCAUUCUUUAUUAAGUAAACAUGAGAAUAAACAAGACAAAAAGAAUAUAACCUAUGCAACAUCUAUAAUAUAAGUAGGGUUGACAUAUUAACAUAUUCAUAUCCUAGCAAGUUGCAUCUAGAGAUAAACAGAAACUCACAUCUCACAUUUUAAUCAUUGGGAUUAAUCGUUGCUGGUUAAAUUAAAGGCAUGCUUUACUCAAGUGAAAGUAGGCAAAAUCAACCACUUCAAAACAUACUCAAAUUCUUAGCUAACCUUUGAGACCAACUACCCUUAAGCAAAUAUAAGAUCCCAAGAAUGGAGUGCCUAACAUAUUAUUAUCAGAAUGUUUUUCUUUCUUCUUAUCAUAGAAAAAAAAUCAAAAUACCAUAGCUAGCACUUUAUUAACAAAAAAAAAAUUAAUAAAUAUAUUCCUUUAUUAAAGGUAAGAACUUAGAUUUUCUGCUCAAGUUAAAUCUCAUAGGCCUUAGGAUCAGAACAAAUUUAUUCUAAUAGUACAUACUAAAGUUACUUUAAAAUCAACAAAAUACACCAAACUUGCAAGGAAAUCUAUAAGCACACGUCAUAUUUAUACUAACAUGUGUUUUUUAUAAGCUAUUUUAUUAGAGGUACUUUAAAUUUUAUAGUUAUGGCAUCUAGUUUAUAUGAACAAGAAGAAAACCUAUUGUCACUUGGCUUCAUCAAAAUAUAUGUGCAGUAGCUAUUAACAUGUGUUUUUUAUGGCACUAUUAAAGAAGAUAUAAACCUAAAAAAACUUAUGUCUUUGAAAAAUACAGAAAUCAUAGAUUUCUAAUCAAUAGAAUCACAACCUGCAGCCUAGUACCCUAGGCAUAACACUUGGUUAAAGAAGCUAAGCUCUAAUUCCAUGCCUUUAAUUAAAGAAACAACAUAUCGUAAGAGUUAUGAUGUUCAAAUCAAGAGCCAUAAUUUAGCAACUAAUAUAUAUUAAUCAUCGAAAAUCUACACUCUUUUGCAGUUAAAAUACACACUUCCUUAUGGGCAUGACUUCUACACAUAGAUGAAUUCUAUAACAAUAUUUUUUUCAUCGAAAACAGAACUGAAACACAUAUUUUCAUGUGAUAGCAAACAUUAACUUUGAAUCCCAAAAAAUAAGAAAGAGAACAGGAGGAAAAAUCUUCAAAGUCACUGGCCUAUUGCGGGGCAGUGAACUAGGCAUUUGUCGAUGGCUACUCGACUUUCCGAUUCAAGUCUCGUGAACAGAACAGAAGACCGCUGCUCGCAAAACUAAAGGGAUCUAGACAAGUAUGACACUAAUAGUAGUUUUGAAGGGUGCACGGUAAGGUUUUUAGGGGUUAAAGGGGUGACUAAAACUUAAGGUUCAAGGAAGGGGCUAAAGCUUGUACAUUUAAAGAGAGGUACAACGGCUCCAAAAGCUCUCCCCAAUAUAUUCCAAAUGCUAAUAUUUAUAGGUGAAGAAGUAGGAUUUUGGCCUUUUUGAGGGAAUUCAAAAUUGGGCUUGAAUAUUGAUAAAAAUGACGGCUUCAAUCCGAACACUGGAGACAAGGCAAAGAAUCGUCCUUUCUUUGAGAUGGUUUUGAUUUAUUUUCUCAAAAUGGUAAAGUCAAUGUUGUACUUUUGAAAGAAGAUUCAUGUUUUGAAGUAAAAAAGAAGAAAGAGUGUGGGGAAGCCCUGACACAGGGGGGCAAAUCUGAAAAUUU